UAGUCCACGCCGUAAACGAUGUCUACUAGCCGUUGGGGGGAAAUUACCCUUUAGUGGCGCAGCUAACGCCUUAAGUAGACCGCCUGGGGAGUACGGCCGCAAGGCUAAAACUCAAAGAAAUUGACGGGGGCCCGCACAAGCGGUGGAGCAUGUGGUUUAAUUCGAUGCAACGCGAAGAACCUUACCUACCCUUGACAUCCUCGGAACUUGUCAGAGAUGACUUGGUGCCUUCGGGAACCGAGUGACAGGUGCUGCAUGGCUGUCGUCAGCUCGUGUCGUGAGAUGUUGGGUUAAGUCCCGUAACGAGCGCAACCCUUGUCCUUAGUUGCCAGCGCGUAAUGGCGGGGACUCUAAGGAGACUGCCGGUGACAAACCGGAGGAAGGCGGGGACGACGUCAAGUCAUCAUGGCCCUUAUGGGUAGGGCUACACACGUGCUACAAUGGCCGGCACAGAGGGCCGCGAACUCGCAAGGGCAAGCAAAUCUCAGAAAACCGGUCGUAGUCCGGAUUGGAGUCUGCAACUCGA
RNAcentral lists this ribosomal RNA (526 nucleotides) under uncultured bacterium. RNAcentral's name for it is "bacterial SSU rRNA". It matches the Rfam family "Bacterial small subunit ribosomal RNA", at positions 791 to 1315 of the family's 1533-position model. The record is from RNAcentral.